RNAcentral lists this ribosomal RNA (296 nucleotides) under Pseudomonas aeruginosa. RNAcentral's name for it is "partial 23S ribosomal RNA". It matches the Rfam family "Bacterial large subunit ribosomal RNA", at positions 424 to 724 of the family's 2925-position model. The record is from RNAcentral. Lineage: Bacteria; Pseudomonadati; Pseudomonadota; Gammaproteobacteria; Pseudomonadales; Pseudomonadaceae.
ACGUGGUAUCCUGUCUGAAUAUGGGGGGACCAUCCUCCAAGGCUAAAUACUCCUGACUGACCGAUAGUGAACCAGUACCGUGAGGGAAAGGCGAAAAGAACCCCGGCGAGGGGAGUGAAAAAGAACCUGAAACCGUGUACGUACAAGCAGUGGGAGCACCUUCGGGUGUGACUGCGUACCUUUUGUAUAAUGGGUCAGCGACUUAUAUUCUGUAGCAAGGUUAACCGUAUAGGGGAGCCGCAGGGAAACCGAGUCUUAACUGGGCGUUAAGUUGCAGGGUAUAGACCCGAAACCCG